RNA transcript from Homo sapiens (human), 444 nucleotides. It is a transcript of the gene named LSP1 pseudogene 3, with no coding region annotated. The transcript has a single exon. The record is from RefSeq and is marked validated. NCBI's taxonomy places the organism in Eukaryota, Metazoa, Chordata, Mammalia, Primates, Hominidae.
AUGGCCGUGGCCAGUACCAAGAGUCGGUGGGAGACGGGUGAGGUACAGGCUCAGUCUGCAGCCAAGACUCUGUCCUGCAAGGAUAUUGUGGCUGGAGACAUGAGCAACAAAAGCUUCUGGGAGCAGAAGGGAGGCUCCAAGACCUCAUCAACAAUUACGGCCCAGAUUGCCUUCCUACAGGGAGAAAGGAAGGGCCAAGAAAAUUUGAAGAAGGAUCUCGUGAGGAUGAUCAGAAUGUUGGAGUAUGCUCUUAAACAGAAAAGAGCCAAAUACCACAAGUUGAAAUAUGGGACAGAAUUGAAUCAGGGAGCUAUGAAGCCUCCAAGCUAUGAUUCUGAUGAAGGUAAUGAAACAGAAGUGCAGCCACAACAAAACAGCCAGUUAAUGUGAAAACAAGGUCGACAACUACUCAGGCAGCGUCAUGAUAACGUGAACAGAAGGUAG